This 2006-nucleotide ribosomal RNA is filed under the name human vaginal metagenome. RNAcentral describes it as "bacterial LSU rRNA". It matches the Rfam family "Bacterial large subunit ribosomal RNA", at positions 1 to 1992 of the family's 2925-position model. The record is from RNAcentral.
UUAAGUGUGUAAGAGCACACGGUGGAUGCCUUGGCAUCAAGAGCCGAUGAAGGACGUGGGAGACUGCGUUAAGCCUAGGGGAGUUGUCAACCGAGCGGUGAUCCUAGGAUGUCCGAAUGGGGAAACCUAGCCGCAGUGAUGUGUGGUUACCUGCGCCUGAAUAUAUAGGGCGUGUGGAGGGAACGCGGGGAAGUGAAACAUCUCAGUACCCGUAGGAAGAGAAAACAACCGUGAUUCCGUGAGUAGUGGCGAGCGAAAGCGGAUGAGGCUAAACCAUAUGCGUGUCAAGCCGGCAGGCGUUGCGUGUGUGGUGUUGUGGGAGCGAGUGUGUGUGGCUGCCGUCGCACGCUGUUGAUGUUGUCGCUAGCGGAAGUCGUUUGGAACGGCGCACCGUAGUGGGUGAGAGUCCCGUACGUGAAAGUGGCAAUUGUUGAUGGUUCUUGUUUCCCGAGUAGCACCGGGCCCGUGAAAUCUGGUGUGAAUCUGUCGGGACCACCCGAUAAGCCUAAAUACUUCUUGAUGACCGAUAGCGGACCAGUACCGUGAGGGAAAGGUGAAAAGUACCCCGGGAGGGGAGUGAAAUAGUACCUGAAACCGUGUGCUUACAAUCCGUCAGAGGCUUUCGGGCUGAUGGCGUGCCUUUUGAAGAAUGAGCCUGCGAGUUAGUGGUAUGUCGCGAUUAGGUUGAAAACUGAGGGGAUGAGCUGUGGGUAGGGGUGAAAGGCCAAUCAAACUCCGUGAUAGCUGGUUCUCCCCGAAAUGCAUUUAGGUGCAGCGUCGUGUGUUUCAUCUUGGAGGUAGAGCUACUGGAUGGUCGAGGGGGCUUAUCCGCUUACCGACACCAGCCAAACUCCGAAUGCCAGGAUGUGAGAGCACGGCAGUGAGACUGUGGGGGAUAAGCUUCAUAGUCGAGAGGGAAACAGCCCAGAUCGCCGGCUAAGGCCCCUAAGCGUGUACUAAGUGGAAAAGGAUGUGGGAUCGCUUAGACAACCAGGAGGUUGGCUCAGAAGCAGCCACCCUUGAAAGAGUGCGUAAUAGCUCACUGGUCAAGUGGUCCUGCGCCGACAAUGUAGUGGGGCUCAAGUACACCGCCGAAGCCGCGGCAUUCCAGUUUUUUGGGAUGGGUAGGGGAGCGUCGUGUGUCCGUUGAAGCUGCAGAGUGAUCUAGUGGUGGAGGGUAUGCGAGUGAGAAUGCAGGCAUGAGUAGCGAAUGACAUGUGGGAAACAUGUCCUCCGGAUGACCAAGGGUUCCUGGGCUAGGCUAAUCCUCCCAGGGUGAGUCGGGUCCUAAGGCGAGGCCGACAGGCGUAGUCGAUGGAUAACGGGUUGAUAUUCCCGUACCCGUAUAAGCGCGCCCAUGGUGAAUCAGUGAUACUAACUGUCCAGAAGCUGCUGCUGCCUUUUUUUGAGGUGGUGGUUGUGGAUGCACGGGACCUGAUCUGGUAGUAGCCAAGCGAUGGGGUGACGCAGGAAGGUAGCUGUGCCAGGUAGUGGAUUGCCUGGUGUAAGCGUGUAGGGUGACAGGUUGGUAAAUCCGCUUGUUGUGUACCUGAGACGUGAUGCGUAGCCAUUGUGGUGAAGUCAGUGAUCCUAUGCUGCCGAGAAAAGCCUCUAGUGAGUUCUUAUACGGCCCGUACCCCAAACCGACACAGGUGGUCAGGUAGAGAAUACUAAGGAGUUCGAGAGAACUGUGGUUAAGGAAUUCGGCAAAAUGCCCCCGUAACUUUGGAAGAAGGGGGACCGGUGUUGGUGAUCACCUUUUCGGUGUGAGCUGAUGUCGGUCGCAGAGACCAGAGAGAAGCGACUGUUUACCAAAAACACAGGUCCGUGCGAAGACGUAAGUCGAUGUAUACGGACUGACGCCUGCCCGGUGCUGGAAGGUUAAGAGGACUGGUUAGUGGCCCUUGUGGCUGCGAAGCUGAGAAUUUAAGCCCCAGUAAACGGCGGUGGUAACUAUAACCAUCCUAAGGUAGCGAAAUUCCUUGUCGGGUAAGUUCCGACCUGCA